This is a long non-coding RNA of Brassica rapa (field mustard), 1491 nucleotides long. RefSeq lists it as uncharacterized. Lineage: Eukaryota; Viridiplantae; Streptophyta; Magnoliopsida; Brassicales; Brassicaceae. The record is from RefSeq and is a predicted model, not a curated record.
UUCUCAGAUUUUGUUGUUUCAAUCUAAGAGAAAGAGUUACCUAUUAUUAAUUGGAUCUAAGAGAAAGAGUUUUGUUAGUGAAUAUUGAGUUUUUUAAAAUUUAUAACCCUUUGUAAAUCUAAGUUUUAGGAAAAAAAUGCGUGAAGUUGAAUUAUGAAUUUCUGCAUAAUGUUUUCACAUGUUUUCAUUGCUGCGACAGCUUAAAAAUAAUCCAUUUUAUCGGCUUCCACCAUUUGUCUCCAGCUUUCGGAGUGGAAAUGAGUUUUCUUUCACUCAAGUUAGAGAUGAUUUCAAAUUGGGGCGUUGGAUGAGCUUUUAUUCUUUUCUUUCACAUGUUCCCGACACUCAUGGAAGAAGCAUGUGUUCAAGCUUAUAUGAGAGCCACAACCCUGCCAGCUGCCAGCACACAUUUGCUUCGAUCUAGAAUGGUAAUCAGCAUAUUCAUCACCUGCUCUUGUUUUUUUCUUAAGUCUUAUUGAACAAUUAUUAACAUUUUUUUUGUUUCUUCUUGUGUCUUAGAUUGCAGAGUCUGUUCCUUUUAGCAGUGAUAAAGACGCAAGUGAAAGCUCCACCUCAGCUGUAGAAAACGGUGAGUUAAAUAACUCAGUUUCAGUUGCUCUCUCUUGCAUUUUUGUCUCAUAUGUCAGAUGUUUCCUAUGAUUUGAUGUCUCACAUCAACUAUUUACUAGUGCAGGGUGUUGUUAGAGUGUCGAUGGUAAGCCAUGGAUUUGUUUAGAACCUUAUUUACUUCAUGAGAAAAUCCCGUGGUGACGAAUGUAAGUUUGGCAAUAGACUUACAUUUUUUACUUAUAUGUUUUGAGAAAUGCUGUUUCUAAUGCCAAGAGUCAACAUGUCUGCAUUUCUUUCACUAGUAAUUACUUUUUAAACUCCCAAGUAUAAUCUAGUCUUUCUACAUUGAAAGGCAAAUCAUAGUUUUUCUCUUAGAAUUGAGUUUCUUAAGAACUGCAAGUGAGUUACAAGUUUGUUGCUUCUGCAGGUGCUUGUACGUGACAUUUGGGUCUUUGAGAAGUCUCUAUUCCACACAAGAGCUUGAUGGCGUCUCUGUGGCCGUAUUGAAUUUCCUCCAAAGGAUAAAAUUCAACCUGCCCUCUGAUUGUUUUUGCUGAGUUAGUAUCUUUACACAAUUUACAAUUUUCUAGUCUCUGUUGCAACUAAAGGAUAAAUGUUGUCUGAUUAGGUUCUAGAUAAUGUUAUAAACAAUUUAUAAAGACUUAUAAAACAAUUUGUAAAGUAUAUAAACAAUUUAUAAAUGCUUAUGAAAACGUUAAAGUUUAUACAGUUUAUAAGGUUUAUAUAGGUUUACGAAUCAAUUAGAAAGUCCCUUAAUCAUUCAUAAGAAUCUAUAACCAUUUAGAAAGGCUUAUAAAACAAUUUAUAAGAGUUUGUACAACAAUUUAUAAGGGUUUAGAAGAAUAUGUAAGUAAUCAAUAAGAAUUAAUAAGAGUUUAUAAAUAUUUUGUAAAGUUUAUA